AACGAACGCUGGCGGCAUGCCUAACACAUGCAAGUCGAACGAGACCUUCGGGUCUAGUGGCGCACGGGUGCGUAACGCGUGGGAACCUGCCCUUAGGUUCGGAAUAACUCCCCGAAAGGGGUGCUAAUACCGGAUAAUGUCUUCUGACCAAAGAUUUAUCGCCUUUGGAUGGUCCCGCGUUGGAUUAGCUAGUUGGUAGGGUAAAAGCCUACCAAGGCGACGAUCCAUAGCUGGUCUGAGAGGAUGAUCAGCCACACUGGGACUGAGAAACGGCCCAGACUCCUACGGGAGGGAGCAGUGGGGAAUAUUGCACCAUGGGGGAAAGGCUGAUACAGCAAUGACGGGUGAGUGAUGAAGGCCUUAGGGUUGUAAAGCGCUUUUAACCGGGAUGAUAAUGACAGUACCGGGAGAAUAAGCUCCGGCUAACUCCGUG
RNAcentral lists this ribosomal RNA (433 nucleotides) under uncultured bacterium. RNAcentral describes it as "partial 16S ribosomal RNA". It matches the Rfam family "Bacterial small subunit ribosomal RNA", at positions 29 to 507 of the family's 1533-position model. The record is from RNAcentral.